Molecule: ribosomal RNA, 279 nt
Filed under: uncultured bacterium
Lineage: Bacteria
Description: partial 16S ribosomal RNA
Rfam family: Bacterial small subunit ribosomal RNA
Source: RNAcentral
UGCCAGCCGCCGCGGUAAUACGAAGGGACCUAGCGUAGUUCGGAAUUACUGGGCUUAAAGAGUUCGUAGGUGGUUGAAAAAGUUAGUGGUGAAAUCCCAGAGCUUAACUCUGGAACUGCCAUCAAAACUUUUCAGCUAGAGUAUGAUAGAGGAAAGCAGAAUUUCUAGUGUAGAGGUGAAAUUCGUAGAUAUUAGAAAGAAUACCAAUUGCGAAGGCAGCUUUCUGGAUCAUUACUGACACUGAAAGACGAAAGCUAGGGGAGCAAAUGGGAUUAGAUA